This 253-nucleotide ribosomal RNA is filed under the name uncultured bacterium. RNAcentral's name for it is "partial 16S ribosomal RNA". It matches the Rfam family "Bacterial small subunit ribosomal RNA", at positions 524 to 776 of the family's 1533-position model. The record is from RNAcentral.
UACAGAGGUCCCAAGCGUUGUUCGGAUUCACUGGGCGUAAAGGGUGCGUAGGUGGUGGGGUAAGUCGGAUGUGAAAGCUCGGAGCUCAACUCCGAAAUGGCAUUGGAAACUACCCUGCUAGAGGAUUGGAGGGGGGACUGGAAUACUUGGUGUAGCAGUGAAAUGCGUAGAUAUCAAGUGGAACACCAGUGGCGAAGGCGAGUCCCUGGACAAUACCUGACACUGAGGCACGAAAGCUGGGGGAGCAAACGGG